GGCUGGACGAUUUUCUACUUAUCUUUGUAUCUUCAGAAUCCCACCCCAGGCUCAGCAUGCAGUAGUUGUUGGAAAAGUCUCUGUGGAUAUGCAAGCUCCUGGGAAGGUUUGACUGCUGUAAUUUCUGCAGCAUAUUCACUGUCCACCCAAGGGACACAUCCAUGGGCCUGCUCUCAGUGACUGUGACUUCUUCCACAUCUAGGAACCUCUCUUCAACUCCUUCCUGUGCCCAGAUUCACAUUAUUCACUUAAGUAAAUCAAAGCUGAUUUAAAUGGAUGUUUUCAAGAACUUGGAUGUUUUGUGGCCACUGGCAGCCACUGCAGACUUCAUUUGGAUGGCCCAUUCUUCACAAAGUCCAGCAAUGACCACUUACCAGAGAUUGAAAUCCAUCAAUUUUAAGUCUAUCAAGGAAAUCAUUUUGGGGCCAACAUUCAGGCAAUGACUACGAGAUGGAUUGCUCAAGACCUUGAAUACACUUCCAGAGAAAAUUCAGACUUUGAGCUGGAGUUUAUCCCUGAUCUGAAGAUUGGCUUCAAGAGUUGUUCAUCAAGAGGAGUGAAUCACAGUCACUAAAGGCACCUUCCUGUGACAUUUUGGAUGGCUCCUGGAAUAAAUUUCUACCACUGAGGAACCUUGCUGGUGAGGCAGAAGUCUCUGUCUCCACAGAGAAAAAGCCAAAAGAAGGGAGUUGUGCAUCUACUUAGAAUAAGAGAAAACGGUUUCCAGAUGGCUAAUGAAUGGUUAGGUUUCUCCGUCACAUGGCAACAAGUCUUACUUCCUCAAAUGCUGGUUCUAAGGACUACUGUGAAAUCCUACUAUUGAGAUUCAUCUAGAUCCAAUUCCAUCUCAUUAUUGUGGAGAUACGGUGCAGAGAACAAUACAUGAAUAAAUACAACUGGAUUCUGC
Molecule: long non-coding RNA, 907 nt
Filed under: Homo sapiens (human)
Lineage: Eukaryota; Metazoa; Chordata; Mammalia; Primates; Hominidae
Description: HSALNT0324856
Source: RNAcentral